CUCGGAGUUUGGUCCCCACCGCGGCUGCUACUCGCCAUCAUCAGACGCCGUCGUCUCCUGCAGCAGGUCGCUGGUCUGGAUUCGUGGGCGGCGUCGGGUGGCCCCUGACUCGCGGCCUUGCCACCGCCGCCAGCUGCGCGAACCCGUCGCCUUCCGCCCUUCCGUCGUGGGUCUUUUCUCCUUUUUCUUCUCAUCUUUCUCCCUAAUUGAAUUGUAAAUUGAAUUGGUUUAGUUGGGGGCGAACUUGUAGUGUGUGAUCAUGCGUGCAAAUUAAGCUAGAAAAAGACGGGAUACAUGUCACCAUCGACCUCCUCAUGGACUCGCCGUCUGAUUUCGUUGCUGCUGAUUCUCGCCGAGCGGUGAGAGGCGCUCCAGGAUCCACUGAGCAGUCGCUUCGGUCGGUGUCAUACUCCAGCCAUCUCGGCUGCAUUGUCAUUGUCAAUUUCGUCGGACUGCCGUGGACUUCUCGGCUUAGCUUUAGCAACAAUCUUUCUACUCCCUCUGGAGAGUUUGUAUCUGGCUGGUGCUUGUCUAACGUUCUAGUUUGUGAAGAGGAUGCACCAUUAGAUGUACCUCGUUCAUCUUAUGCUC
Long non-coding RNA from Salvia splendens (bonfire salvia), 591 nucleotides. RefSeq lists it as uncharacterized. The record is from RefSeq and is a predicted model, not a curated record. The transcript is spliced from 4 exons. Lineage: Eukaryota; Viridiplantae; Streptophyta; Magnoliopsida; Lamiales; Lamiaceae.